RNAcentral lists this transfer RNA (76 nucleotides) under Peptostreptococcaceae bacterium. Its description in RNAcentral is "tRNA-Val". It matches the Rfam family "tRNA". Rfam says of the family: Transfer RNA (tRNA) molecules are approximately 80 nucleotides in length. Their secondary structure includes four short double-helical elements and three loops (D, anti-codon, and T loops). Further hydrogen bonds mediate the characteristic L-shaped molecular structure. tRNAs have two regions of fundamental functional importance: the anti-codon, which is responsible for specific mRNA codon recognition, and the 3' end, to which the tRNAs corresponding amino acid is attached (by aminoacyl-tRNA synthetases). tRNAs cope with the degeneracy of the genetic code in two manners: having more than one tRNA (with a specific anti-codon) for a particular amino acid; and 'wobble' base-pairing, i.e. permitting non-standard base-pairing at the 3rd anti-codon position. The record is from RNAcentral. Lineage: Bacteria; Bacillati; Bacillota; Clostridia; Peptostreptococcales; Peptostreptococcaceae.
GGGCGUUUAGCUCAGUUGGGAGAGUAUCUGCUCGACAAGCAGGGGGUCACUGGUUCGAACCCGGUAACGCCCACCA